Molecule: ribosomal RNA, 497 nt
Filed under: uncultured bacterium
Lineage: Bacteria
Description: partial 16S ribosomal RNA
Rfam family: Bacterial small subunit ribosomal RNA
Source: RNAcentral
GAUGAACGCUGGCGGCGUGCCUAAUACAUGCAAGUCGAGCGAACAGACGAGGAGCUUGCUCCUCUGACGUUAGCGGCGGACGGGUGAGUAACACGUGGAUAACCUACCUAUAAGACUGGGAUAACUUCGGGAAACCGGAGCUAAUACCGGAUAAUAUAUUGAACCGCAUGGUUCAAUAGUGAAAGACGGUUUUGCUGUCACUUAUAGAUGGAUCCGCGCCGCAUUAGCUAGUUGGUAAGGUAACGGCUUGCCAAGGCAACGAUGCGUAGCCGACCUGAGAGGGUGAUCGGCCACACUGGAACUGAGACACGGUCCAGACUCCUACGGGAGGCAGCAGUAGGGAACCUUCCGCAAAGGGCGAAAGCCUGACGGAGCAACGCCGCGUGAGUGAUGAAGGUCUUCGGAUCGUAAAACUCUGUUAUUAGGGAAGAACAAAUGUGUAAGUAACUAUGCACGUCUUGACGGUACCUAAUCAGAAAGCCACGGCUAACUACGUG